GACGAACGCUGGCGGCGUGCCUAAUACAUGCAAGUUGAGCGAUGAAGAUUGGUGCUUGCACCAAUUUGAAGAGCAGCGAACGGGUGAGUAACGCGUGGGGAAUCUGCCUUUGAGCGGGGGACAACAUUUGGAAACGAAUGCUAAUACCGCAUAACAACUUUAAACAUAAGUUUUAAGUUUGAAAGAUGCAAUUGCAUCACUCAAAGAUGAUCCCGCGUUGUAUUAGCUAGUUGGUGAGGUAAAGGCUCACCAAGGCGAUGAUACAUAGCCGACCUGAGAGGGUGAGUGGCCACAUUGAGACUGAGACACGGCCCAGACUCCUACGGGAGGCACCAGGAGGGAAUCUGCAGCCAUAGACGAAAGUCUGACCGAGCAACGCCGCGUGAGUGGAGAAGGACUUCGGAUCGUAAAACUCUGUUGGUAGAGAAGAACGUUAGUGAGAGUGGAAAGUUCAUCAAGUGACGGUAACUACCCAGAAAGGGACGGCUAACUACGUG
This 497-nucleotide ribosomal RNA is filed under the name uncultured bacterium. RNAcentral describes it as "partial 16S ribosomal RNA". It matches the Rfam family "Bacterial small subunit ribosomal RNA", at positions 28 to 507 of the family's 1533-position model. The record is from RNAcentral.